CUCAAUUCCAUUGCACACAGUGUAACAAAAGUUAUCAUAAAAGAGCUUCUUUAAAUGCUCACAGAUAUACAGUUCACAGGGCCACUAAAGUGUUUUGCACCAUAGACGGAUGCGGCUACUUUACUUCUAGAAAUAGUGAUUUACGACGACAUCAGACACUGGUACAUAAAAUUAAUAAAGGAAAAUUUUAAUAAUACUAUUUCUAUGUUUAUUUUUUUUGAUAAUUUAUUUUUAUGAAUAGAGAAGUCAACUGGGAAAGAAUGUUUUUUUACACAAAUGCAGCCACUGAUCUUUAAAUACUAACUAGGACAGUUAUAAAAGUUAAAAAUUACAAUAAUUUUUUAAUUUUAUAUAACUAAUCCCUUAAAAUUAGAAAAUUAAAAUUAUUUCGAUUGUGGCUACAUAAAAUUAAUAAAGGAAAAUUUUAAUAAUA
Molecule: long non-coding RNA, 433 nt
Organism: Anthonomus grandis grandis
Lineage: Eukaryota; Metazoa; Arthropoda; Insecta; Coleoptera; Curculionidae
Exons: 2
Source: RefSeq, a predicted model, not a curated record